GGAUGAGAUGCUCUGUUAGGAUUCUUUCAAACACCAAACCUUAAUGGUCUUGUUCACACCCCACAUUAAGUGGCCUCCUAUGAGCAGGUAAGUCAGUGAAGGUGUGUGUGUGUCUUCAGGUGGCAGAUGUGAAGUAGAAGAAGGCAGUCACCAUUUCACACCUUUAAAAUAAUCAUGUGGCUGGGUGCGGUGGCGCUACCUGUAAUCCUAGUUGGCUUGGGAGGCAGAGGAAGGAAGAUUGAAAGUUCAAAGCCAGUCUCAGCAAUAUUGAGGCACUAAGCAACUCAAUGAGACCCUGUCUCUAAAUAAAAUACAAAAUUUUAUUUUAGAGUAGUCCUCUAAAACCACUAAUGUGGCUCAGUGGUUGAGUGCCCCUGAGUUCAAUCCUCAGUUUACCCCCGUUCCACAUAAUUAUCUCGUAGGAAAUUUCUUCCCUCUGUCACCACUUCUCACCCAGUUAGUUAGGUGAGAGGUUGCAGGAAGCCCAGAGCCUGGGACCUCCCUUGGUGCUUCAAAUCUACUUGUUCAACAUACUUCAGAUACACUUUUCUAAGUACAGGGAAGACUGCAGGACAGAGCUCCUGCUCUUGGGGGGCUCCCACCCUGUGGGGACAGUCAGCAAGAGGAACAAUUCAGCCACACAGUGCACAGAAGUCAGUGGGUGCCCUGGGGAGAAAGGAACCCUGGAGAGGGAGAGAGGGGUGUUGGGUGAGGACUACUCUAAAUAGCAUGGCUGGUUUGGCCUUUGGUGAAGUUGAUAUUUGCACCAAGACCUCAAGCAAAGCAAGUGGAGGGAAUGGCCAAGGCCAAGGCUCUGAGGAGUUUGCCUGGGCAGUAGCUGACCUUGGCAGAGAGGAGGCUCCCGAGCUGGGGAGAGUGGGAGCUACAGCCUCCUAGGAGAAACCAACAUGAGUCACAGAAUCACCAAAGUCAAGCAUGGCAGUGGGCAGAUCUGGAUAGGAGCUUCCUGGGGCAAGGACAGUUUGAGGGAGGUGAAGCUUAGAGAACAAGUUGACCGGAAGAGCACAUUCACUGAGGAGUGGUUGGUGAGGAUGAGGUGCCAGGCACCUGCUCUGUCCCACCCUGGGAUGUCAUUGCAGCCCUACUUGAGCCUGAGAGCAGGUGGGAUUACUCCUGGCGGGAGGUUUGCCAGGUGGAGGUAACUAAGCAGCAAAAGGGCACAGGGGCUUGGGGUGUGGGGUUCACCAGGUUGUCUUGACCUGGUCUGCGUGCACACGGGGACUGGUGUUUGUGCACUUGCUCUGGAGCAACCACGCAGGCAGGGCACCUCUGAGCUGCUGGAGCACACCAGGCUGGUGGAGCACUGCUGGGACGCAUGUGUGGCACAGCAGGUGCUGCCAGCCCCUCCUGCCAAGCCCUGCCUGGGCCUUUCUUGUUCCCUGGCAUUUCUCCCAGAAUCAGAACAGUGUUUGGCUCAUAGUAAUGGUUUACUACAUCUGCGUUGAGUGACUGGAGUAUAGGAUGAUGGCCGAUACAAGACUGGGAUCCAGGAUUGCCUGUUGAGGUAUAGAAUGAAGUUCCAGGUGCCAGCCUACUGAGGUAUGAAUCCUGGCCCCAUCAUUUACAAGUUGUGUGAAAAUGGGCAAAUUGCUGAUCUUCCCCAAGUCUCAGUUUCCUAAUCUGUAAAUUGGGGGCAAUAAUGGUCCCUACCUCAAAUGGUUGCUAUUAAGAUUCACAGAGUGUCAAAGCUCUUCUACUCUGCUGUUAAAAUGGCUUCUGCCACUUUCAUCUGCACUGAUCCUCAUAGUAGCCACACACCAGAAAAGGACACAGGUGAGUGUGGUGGCCAAGCCUAUGACCCCAGAGACUCAGGAGGCUUAGCCAGGAGGAUCACAAGUUCAAGGCCAGCCUGCAUAAGUCAGCAAGACCUUAUCUCAAAAAUAAAAUAAAAAGGACUUUGGGGCUGGGGCUGGGGCUCAGUGGCAGAGCACUUGCUUAGCAUGUGUGAGGCACUGGGUUCGAUUCUCAGCACUAAUAAAAAUAAAUAUAUAAAAUAAAGGUGUUGUGUGCAUCUACAACUAAGUAUAUUUUUUUUUUUUUUUUUUUUUUUAGAAAGAGAGAGAGAGAGACAGAGAGAGAGAGAGAGAGAAUUUUAAUAUUUAUUUUUCGGCGGACACAACAUCUUCGUUUGUAUGUGGUGCUGAGGAUCGAACCCGGGCCGCACGCACGCCAGGCGAGCGCGCUACCGCUUGAGCCACAUCCCCAGCCCCUAAGUAUAUUUUUUUUAAAAAAGGAGUGGGGAUGUAGCUUCUUGCAGCCCUACUCUGUAGCCUGAGAGCAGGUGGGAUUACUCCUGGAGGGAGGUUUUCCAGGUGGAGGUAACUAAGC
RNAcentral lists this long non-coding RNA (2349 nucleotides) under Marmota monax (woodchuck). The record is from RNAcentral. Lineage: Eukaryota; Metazoa; Chordata; Mammalia; Rodentia; Sciuridae.